Molecule: ribosomal RNA, 479 nt
Filed under: uncultured bacterium
Lineage: Bacteria
Description: bacterial SSU rRNA
Rfam family: Bacterial small subunit ribosomal RNA
Source: RNAcentral
ACCUCCGUACGGGAGGCAGCAGGAUGGGGAAUAUUGGCACAAUGGGCGCAAGCCUGAUGCAGCCAUGCCGCGUGUAUGAAGAAGGCCUUCGGGUUGUAAAGUACUUUCAGCAGUGAGGAAGGUGGGUAUGUUAAUAGCAUAUUCAUUUGACGUUAGCUGCAGAAGAAGCACCGGCUAACUCCGUGCCAGCAGCCGCGGUAAUACGGAGGGUGCGAGCGUUAAUCGGAAUUACUGGGCGUAAAGCGCAUGCAGGUGGUUUGUUAAGUCAGAUGUGAAAGCCCGGGGCUCAACCUCGGAAUUGCAUUUGAAACUGGCAAACUAGAGUACUGUAGAGGGGGGUAGAAUUUCAGGUGUAGCGGUGAAAUGCGUAGAGAUCUGAAGGAAUACCGGUGGCGAAGGCGGCCCCCUGGACAGAUACUGACACUCAGAUGCGAAAGCGUGGGGAGCAAACAGGAUUAGAUACCCUGGUAGGAUAGCGU